CGGACGGGUGAGUAACACGUGGAUAACCUACCUAUAAGACUGGGAUAACUUCGGGAAACCGGAGCUAAUACCGGAUAAUAUAUUGAACCGCAUGGUUCAAUAGUGAAAGACGGUUUUGCUGUCACUUAUAGAUGGAUCCGCGCCGCAUUAGCUAGUUUGUAAGGUAACGGCUUACCAAGGCAACGAUGCGUAGCCGACCUGAGAGGGUGAUCGGCCACACUGGAACUGAGACACGGUCCAGACUCCUACGGGAGGCAGCAGUC
This 263-nucleotide ribosomal RNA is filed under the name uncultured Staphylococcus sp. Its description in RNAcentral is "partial 16S ribosomal RNA". It matches the Rfam family "Bacterial small subunit ribosomal RNA", at positions 99 to 355 of the family's 1533-position model. The record is from RNAcentral. Lineage: Bacteria; Bacillati; Bacillota; Bacilli; Caryophanales; Staphylococcaceae.